AUGGCGGCGGCCGGGACCCCGGCGGAGCUGCGAGUGCUGCUGGUGCCCCGCUCGGAGCAGCCGCAGGGCGCGGCGCGGGUGCGGCUGAGCAGGGCCCGGCACGCCCUGGGCACCGUGCUGCUGGCCGGCGGCAUCCGCCUGGAGUCCCUGGGGGCCGGCGGGAGCGGGCAGCGGGGCAGCGUGCUGCCGGGAGCCUGGGCUGACUUCCUGUGGGACAGCUCGGAAGAUGAUGGUUCCCAGUCCAACACGACAAAGCUCCUGGCUCUUGCUCAAAGCCAUGACCUGUUUGUCUAUGAGUUCAACGUAGAAGAUGGAAAACACAGCCCCAAUUCCCUGCACAGCUGUGAGGCAGAGACGCUGAAAAGGCUCCUUGAAGAUAAAAACAUCAGUCUGCCUUCAAUUUCUUCUGUGAAGAUUCUGUCUUUUGGAAACAACAAGUGCAAACUUCUGCUGAACCGGUUUCUCCUUGUGCACCUGGCCUUUCCUGGGGAAGGCUCACCCCCAGAGCCCUGUGGCUGCUUCCCCCUGGCCCUGCCUGCAGGAGCCGUGGGGAGGAUUGCAGACUCCCACUUCUGCAGGGGGAUCCUGUUCCUGUUGGACACUGCUGGCUGGAUUUACAUAUUUGACUGCUGUGAUGGUGCCAGCCUGGGGAAGGUGGGUGUAGCCCUGGGGGCUGGGCAGGGGCCGGGCCCAGCCCCUGUGUCCCCCCUGGCUGCCCUGGCAGUGUCCCCUGACCUCAGCACGGCCGUGGUGACCAACAGCUGCCACCGGGCCCUGGCUGUGCAGCUCAACACCUACUUCAGACAGUUCCCUGAACAUUUGUUCUGUAAGAGAGAUCCUGAAAAUCUGCCAGUGAAGCCUGCAGAGGGGCUGGAUGAGGAUGAGCUGGCCAGUUCUGAGCACAGCAUGGAGCUCCUGCCGCUGCCCUUCCGCACAGACAGGUCCUGGAAAGCACACCUGUCCUCACUGUGGGACAGAGUCAGGAGGAGAAGAACACCAGGCUCUGCACAUUUGGUGAACGACCUGAAUUUGCCUUGGUAUCAGUUUUUCACCCAUCUGGAAGAUCACGAUCCUGAAGUUUGUGAGGAUCCAGAGAGGAUGGUGGCCUUUGUGCCCCGGGCUGUCACUUGGGCAGCUUCCCCAGCACUCCAAGGGCAGCCUGGGGGUGCAGGACAGCAGCGGGCACAAAUCCCCGUGGGAGCAGCCCAGGACAGGGUGAAACUGGAGUGCAAGCUGGUGACUGGAGCCAAGGCAGUGUUUGUGGUGCAGGCACAGGACACGGGGCUGUCUGUGGCGCUCUGGGAUUUUGAGUCCCAGCAGGUGACGUGUUCCCGCUUUGGCAGGAGCAGUGCCUAUGUGGAGUGCAGUGCAGAGCUGCCACUGUGUCUGCUGCUGACAGAGCGUGGUCUGUCCCUGGUGCUGUUUGGGGUCACUCAGGAGGAGUUCCUGACCAGGCUGAUGAUGUUUGGCAGUGCUGGGGUUGUGGAUUCCCUGUGCCACCUCAAUGGCUGGGAGAGGUGCUCCAUUCCCAUCCAUGCCCUCGAGGCAGGUUUGGAGAAUCGCCAGCUGGACACGGUGGACUUGUUUUUGAAAAGCAAAGAAAGUGUUUUCAGUCUGUCUGCAGCCUGCCCUGGGGCUGCUGUCUCCCAGUCCUACCUGAGAAGUCUGGAGGAGCUCAGGCCAGCUCUGAACUUGCUCUGCUCAGCAAUCCAAGACAAUGAUAUGGAGCCCCACAGCAAACCCUUCUCUGAGCAGCUCCUGAACCUCGCCCUGACUUUCCUCACCAAGCAGCUGGAGGAAAUCUUUGUGCACACAGAGGAGCCUGAUGAGUUCCUGCAGAAGGCUGCAGAUAUUUUAACUGAUUACAUCAUUAAGCUGAGGAAGUUCCUGAGGAGAUACCCUCACCCAGCAGUGACCCCAGGGCAGGGAGCUGAGCUGGAUGAGGACCUGCCUGAGAUAGAGGAGAGCCAGGAAUGGGAAAAACUGACACCAGAGGAAGUCAUUGCUGAGGCCAUCCUAAGCAACAAAAUACCCGAGGCCCAGAUCUUCUUCAGAAGGCAGAAACACCCUGCUGAGAGUCUGCAGGAGUUUCUGCAGACAGGCUUGAGCCUGGUCUAUGACUGCCUGCUGAGGGGCAGCACCAGGGAGGCCUCAGAGCUGCUGAGGAACAUGGGCUUGGACGUGGAGCAGGAGCUGCACAAGAUCUGCCUGCACACGCAGGACAGGCACGUCAGGGAGCUCCUGGUGAAAGUCUUACAAGAAGAAAAUUACUUUUCUGAAAAAGAGAAGAAAAUUAUUGACUUUGUGCAUCAGGUUGAAAGCUUCUACUCAGAAUCCUUCCAGGAAAACAAAGAGACUCAAGCUCUUUCCAGGUGCAGCAGCUGGAGGAGGCAGCAGGAGCUGGCUGGGCCCCGGGCAGUGCUGGGCUCCCAGCUGGGCUGGGGCAGCCCCGGGGCCCCCCGGCUCACCCUGAGCCUCGGCUGGGCCCUGUGCUGGGAGCCCCUGCUGCAGGACAUGGUGCUGCUGCCCUGGAGAGCACAGCAAGAGCUCAAGAGCUGCAGUGCUGAGGUGCUCUGGAUGCACGCGACAGCCCAGCAUGACUGGCUGAGGAUUUGUUCCUGGAUUGAGGAGUCAGAGCCCAGCCAGGCUCCGUGUGGCAGCGCCGCCUGGCCCCCCCUGAGCCCUGACAUCGUGGACAGGAGCACUCUGUGCAGCCCCUACAUGAGACAGGACAUCCUCAACAAGCUGGCCAGAAAGGGAAUUUUUGUCCCUUCUGAGCUGGAAGAUUUCGAGCUGCUGCUCCAGAGGCUGUCGUGCCUGGGGGGAGUCCUGCAGAAUCCUCACCCUGUUCCAAAGUACAGCUCUGCCAGUGGCCUGGACUUCCAUGCUCAGUUUGUCCUGCACUGCCUGGAGCACGGCCUGCAGUACCUGCUCUACACUUACCUGGACUAUUACAGUUUAACCCCUGCAAACUGCCCUGUGCUGGGUAACAAGGAGCUGCAGGAAGCACAUCCCUGGUUUGAGUUCCUGGUGCAGUGCAGAGGGGUUGCCAGCAGUCCCCGAGAUCCCAAGAUGAUUUUCCAGGCCAGCCUGGCCAACGCUCAGAUGCUGAUCCCCAGCAGCCAGGGGGGUGUGAGCAGCAUCCUGCUGGAGGGCAGGACCCUGCUGGCCCUGGCCACCACAGUCUAUGGGCCUGGGGGCAUUGACCAGGUCCUUCAGAAUGAAGAUACAGAAAAACCUCUAAAGAAAGUUGAUCCACAGCUGCUGAAGAUGGCCUUGACCCCUUACCCCAAGCUCAAGGCUGCUCUCUUUCCCUCCUGCACUGCUCAUGGGAUUUUGCCUCCUGACAUCUCUCUGUACCACCUCCUGCAGUCAUUAAUGCCCUUUGAUCCCACGAAAUUGUUUGGCUGGCAGUCAACAAACACUCUGGCUGUGUCAGAUGCCUGGAGCCAGCUGCCCCACUUCUCCAGCCCCGGGCUGGUGAGCAGGCACGCCGUGCAGGAGAGGCUGCAUUUCCUGUUCUACCUGCGCCACGGCCGGCCCGCCUUCGCCUUCGGCACCUUCCUGGGCCAGCAGCUGGCCAGGAGCAAAGCCCCCAGGCUGCUGAUGCAGCAGGCGGCUCGCGAGGCCCAGCUGCUGGCUCUGAGCUGCUUCGGUGUCCCCUCGGUGGCUGCGGCCUGCGUGUGCUUCCUGGAGCUGCUGGGCCAGGACAGCCUGGGGCUGCGGGUGGCCCUCAGGGCUGCCGGCCUCAUCUCCAGCCACAGCCCCACCAGGGACUCGCUGGUGGAGAAGUUAACCAGGUUGGCUGAUGGUGACAAGGCAGCAGCAGCAGCAGUUCUGACCUCCUUGGAAGAGGCCUUCUGGGAUAACAUUGAGCAGCAAGGCAUAAAGAGGACAUCCAGUGAGUGCAGCAGGCAGUGGUCCCUGGUCGUGCAGUUCUGCAAGCUGCACAGCCUGGAGCUGAGCACGUCCUUCCUGAGGGAAUGUGCCAAAGCCAACGAGUGGCUGCAGUUCCUGAUCCAGAGCCAGCUGCACGGCCACCAGCCCGCCCAGGUCAUUGCCCUGCUGCAGGAUUUCCCUGCCGCGCUCCAGGAUCACCUGCAGCUGGCCCUGGGGAGGCUGCUGGCACCCGGGGCCGGCGCUGCUGCCAGGGCCCGUGCAGGGAGCCUGUUCCACACCCUGCUGCAGUGCCAGGAGCAGCCCAGCCCCUGCGGCUUCCUGCUGGCCCAGGGGCUCAGGGCACGGGCGCCCGUCCUCAGCGUGCUGGCAGCCUGCUGCCCCGGUGCCAGCCUCAUCUCCUGCCUCUGCGUGUGGAUGAUCACUUCUGUGGAUGAUGCCACCAGGGCUGAGGCCACUGCCCACACGCAGGGCAGGGCAGAGGGUCCCCAGUGGGACCUGCAGGACCUUGCUGUCAUCUGGAAAGUCUUCCUGAGGAAGCAGAAGAGUAAAACACUUCUGAAUGGCUUCCAGCUCUUUUUAAAGGAUUCCCCUUUGCUGCACAUCCUGGAGAUGUAUGAACUCUGCAUGAACUGUAAGAAGUACAACGAGGCUAAAACCAAACUGGACAAAUUUCAGGAAAGCCUCACAAACCCGGGGGCUGCAGGGGGAGCAGGCCCCGCGGUGCCGCUGCCGUGGCUGCGCUCGCAGGCGCUGUUCCUCCUGGAGCUGAUGCUGCAGCAGUGCCGCACCGACUACGAGCUGGGCAAGCUCCUGCAGCUCCUGGCUGCGGCAGAGAGCCUGCUGCCGGACGGCCCCCACCUGAGGAGGCUCCGUGCCCUCAGCGAGGCCCUGAGGGACUCCUCCAUCCCCAUCAGCCGCUCCCUCCUGACGCCCUGCAGCCUGGAGGCCUUCCAGGGGCAGUGCAGCUCCAUCCUGGAGCAGCUGCAGGAGAAGGGAAUGUUCAGCCUGGCUCGGGAGGUGGCGGCCCUGGCUGAGCUGCCCGUGGACAGCGUGGUCAUACACGAGGUUCUGAGGGAUCUACAUCAUUUAAGAGAGAGUGGCCAGUGGCAUCAGAGCCAGAGCAGAGCGGAGUUCUGGCAGAAGUGCAACGACACCUUCAGUAGACGUGGCAUCUGCAGCCGAGCCGCAGCACAGUUCUUCCUGCGGCAGGCUGACAGCGUGUGGGAGCCCUCGGGGCAGGAGAGGACAGCCAGCCUGAUGGAGAGGCAGCUGCUGCUCACGCUGGCCGGGCACUGGCUGGCCAAGGAGCCCGGGGUGGCCGUGCAGGAGCUGCAGGAGGUGGAGAAGCAGCUGUGGCAGUGCCGCGUGGCACAGCGGGCGCUGCUGCCCGAGGGCUCGCGGCCGUGCCCCGGGGCACAGUGCUUGGGCACGCUGGCUCAGCAGUUCUCCUUUGCCAGGCUGGCGGCCCUGGAGGCGGCCGAGCCCCGCGGGCUGCGGGCGCUGCCGGCCCGGGAGGCACCGGGGGCGGCACCGGGGGCCGCGGAGCGGGCGGCGCUGGGGACCCUGCUGGGCACCCUGCUGGAGCAGGGCAGCGUGCACGAGGCCGCCCGCGUGUGCCGCUACUUCCAGCUGUGGCACCGCGACGUGGCCCUGGUGCUGCUCUGCAGGGCCCUGGCCCUGGGCGAGGCGGGGCUGGAGCAGCUGCAGCCCGAGGUGCAGAGCCUGCUGUCGGCCGAGGCCAGCGCGGAGCCGGGCGCAUCCAGCCUGGAGGACUGGACCCCUCUGGGGUGUGGGGAUGAUGCCGUGGUGGCGGCACUGAAGGCCCUGGCAGAGGCAUGUGUCCAUGGCAGGGGUUACUGCAGGCAGGUCCUGUGCCUCUACGAGCUCUCCAAGGAGCUGAGCUGCUCCUUCGCGGAGGUGUCGGCGCGGGAGCCUCGCGAGGUGCUCGGGGCCAUCCUGGCGCGGCGGGGGCCGGACCGGGGCCGCAGGGCCCAGGCCUUCAUCGCCUGCCAGGGGCUGCCCCCUGCCACCGUGGCACCGCUGCUGGCACAGCAGAUCACCCACGAGCUGCUGGCCUCCGCCCAGGGAAAAGGGCAGAAGCAGGCUUGGAACCCUGCAGUGGAGAGCCAGGAGCUCCUGCAGCUUGCCAAGCUGUGCCAGGAUCACACCUUGGUUGGGAUGAAGUUGCUGGAAAAAAUCUCCUCAGUCCCCUGUGGGGAGUUGUCGUGCAUUACAGAGCUGCUGAUCCUGGCCCACAGCCUCUUCAGCCUGACGUGUCACAUGGAGGGCAUCACUCGGGUGCUGCAGGCAGCUCGGCUGCUCACCGAGGAGCACCUGGCUCCCAGGGAGGAGUACAGGCUGCUGGUGCGCCUGCUGACGGGCAUUGGCAGGUACAAUGAGAUGACCUACAUCUUUGAGCUGCUGCACCAGAAACACUACUUCGAGGUGCUCAUGAGGAAGAAGCUGGACCCGAGCGGGACGCUGAAGGCGGCACUGCUGGACUACACCAAGCGCUGCCGGCCCGGCGACAGCGAGAAGCACAACAUGAUCGCGCUGUGCUUCAGCAUGUGCAGGGAGAUCGGCCAGAACCACGAGGCUGCCGCCUGCACCCAGCUCAAACUCAUCGAGUGCCGGCCCUGGGAGGAGUCUCUUCAGGAUGUUCCAAAUUUAAAGAAGCUGCUGCUGAAAGCUGUGACUCUCUUCAUUGAUGCAGCAGAGAGUUACUCCAAGGACUCGUGCGUGCGGCAGGCGCUGCGCUGCCGCCGCCAGACGCGGCUCAUCACGCUGCAGCUGCACUUCCUGGGCUCAGGGCAGAGCACCAGGAUCAUCAACCUGGGCAGGCAGGAGCUGCCAGGAGCCAUCCUGGCCUUGCCCAGGUUCUACCAGGCAGCCAUCGUGGCCGAGGCCUAUGAGUUCCUGCCGGACUGGGCUGAGGUUCUGUUCCAGCAGGUGAUCGCCAGGGGGGACUUUGUGUACCUGGAGGAGUUCCGGCAGCAGCGGCCGCUGCGGCCCGGCCUCUUCGAGGAGGUGGCCAAGAAGGUCAAACAGCAGCACCCUCCUGCUGAUGCUGCCCUGAGGAACCUGAAGCGGUUCCUCACCCACUGUGAGGACAUCUACACCUACUACAGGCUGGCCUACGACCACAAGUUCUAUGACGUGGUGAACUCCCUGCUGAAGGACCCUCAGACUGGCUGCUGCCUCAACGACCUCUUAUCCAACUGAACUGCAGCUGAAUCCCAGCCCGGAGCACAGGCUGCAGCUCACUGCUGAUUUACACUGAUUUUAUCCAUGGCCUGCUCACAGGGCUCUGCUGCUCUGUAAAAAUUACUCCAGAAAACUGCACAAGGUUGCCCAGGCCAUGGGUAGACUCCCACCACACCUCAGCUUUGCAACUCUCCCUCUUCAGGUAUUUUUCCUGUCAGGCCCCAAGAAGAACUCUGCUCCAAGGCCAGCCUGGUGAAGUCCUCAAUAGUGAUUUUUAUUAAAUUAGUUGCUUUAUAAAACAUUGCAGAUGUUGUAAUUGUUAACAUAACAAUUUGCCCAACUGUAGGAACUGCUGCAGUUUGCUAAGCAAGUUUGGUUUUUAAUGAAAGAAAACGGCCGAGUUGUGAGAGACCCACCACAACCCAGGAGAGCCCCAAGGAAUUCAUGUGGCUUGGUUUUUUCUUUUACACUUAACCCCUUAAUUAACUGUUAAAGAACACCCAACCCAGACAGCUGCAUUAGUAGAAAUUUAAAUGACUGGAACUAAAUAAACUUCAUCCUUGAGACACAAGUGGGUUUUACCUUGCUCUGC
Melospiza melodia melodia is the source of this 7696-nucleotide RNA transcript. It is a transcript of the gene named SPG11 vesicle trafficking associated, spatacsin, with no coding region annotated. The transcript is spliced from 41 exons. Lineage: Eukaryota; Metazoa; Chordata; Aves; Passeriformes; Passerellidae. The record is from RefSeq and is a predicted model, not a curated record.